Molecule: long non-coding RNA, 589 nt
Organism: Carcharodon carcharias (great white shark)
Lineage: Eukaryota; Metazoa; Chordata; Chondrichthyes; Lamniformes; Lamnidae
Exons: 2
Source: RefSeq, a predicted model, not a curated record
AUAGCACUCCAGUGACCAGAAGAGGAACUGCAUGGAACUGCCUGAGGCCAAGUCCUGCAAACCAGAGAACCAUUGGUGGCAUAAUUGAGUCAGAGAUAGUAGGUACUGAUGGAGUGUUGUACUACCGGAGAUGCCAGCUUUAGGGUGAGAUCUUAAACCAAGGCUCCAUCUGCCAGCUCCAGUGGACAUAAAAGACACUGUGGCGCUAUUUCAAAGAAGAGCAGGGAAGUUCUCCCUGGUGUUCUGACCAGUAUUUAACCUUCAAGCAACAUCUAAACACAGAAUGUUUUGCCAUUAUCACAUCGCUCUUUAUAGGAUCUUGCUGUAUGUAAAUUGGCUGCUGUGUUUCCUACAGCAGUACUUCAAAUAGUACUUAAUUGGCUGUAAAGCACUUUGGGAUGUUCUGAAGUUGUGAAAAGCUCUAUGAAUGCAGGCCUUUUGUUCUUAAAAUGGUAAAAUUCUAGAGUGCACUUUUUAAAAAAUCAUUUAUGAAGACUGUACUUCCUUGGUUACUAAAUGUGCUUGAUGUUUGAGCACAGUGUAUAUAUAAAGUACAUUUUCCACUCACAGAAUAAAGGUAAUAAAGGAU